RNAcentral lists this transfer RNA (76 nucleotides) under Bacteroides thetaiotaomicron. RNAcentral describes it as "tRNA-Thr". It matches the Rfam family "tRNA". From Rfam's summary of the family: Transfer RNA (tRNA) molecules are approximately 80 nucleotides in length. The record is from RNAcentral. Lineage: Bacteria; Pseudomonadati; Bacteroidota; Bacteroidia; Bacteroidales; Bacteroidaceae.
GCUGGUGUAGCUCAGUUGGUAGAGCAGCUGAUUUGUAAUCAGCAGGUCGGGGGUGCGAGGCCGUCCACCAGCUCCA